AAACGCACUCCACGGACUUUGUAGUGUUGAAAUAAUACUUAACUUUUAUUUAAUCCAUAAAAUGAUGGAUUAAAUAAAAGUUAAGUCUUAUUUUAACUCUACAAAGUCCCUGGAGUGUGGUU
This is a non-coding RNA of Pelobates cultripes (western spadefoot toad), 122 nucleotides long. Lineage: Eukaryota; Metazoa; Chordata; Amphibia; Anura; Pelobatidae. The record is from the annotation of a GenBank genome assembly.